Non-coding RNA from Anas platyrhynchos (mallard), 2230 nucleotides. The record is from RefSeq and is a predicted model, not a curated record. NCBI's taxonomy places the organism in Eukaryota, Metazoa, Chordata, Aves, Anseriformes, Anatidae.
AAUCACGCUGCUCUCCAGAUGGCCGAGGCACCCUGCGUCCCGGCUCUGCAGCCCGCUCUGGCUCUCAAUUAAUUCCGGCUCUUCUUGGCACCGAGGCGGCUGGUUUGCUUGCGUUUAACUUUUGCCUUUCAGAAGGUGAUAAUGAAACAGAUAAGGAUCCUACAAGGCUAUUUCUUCCUGCUUGGAAAGCCCAAGCCCUGAUCAUCAACAGAAGUCUAGAGCACCACAAAUACAAAUCCUCUCUUCAUUCUCCUCCUGGAUAGCUGGGAAAGAAGUUGGACUGUGACUGAUCUCAUUCACAGGGGUCUCUUUUACUUUUUCUAUUAUUCUUAGCUCAUGAGUUUUAAUUCUUUGCCUUGCAUGUUUUUUGUCAAACUACUUAAGAUAGAGUAUUUCAUGCGCAAAGUGAAAUGCCUCUGAUAAGAACUAUACUUACAUUGGUUUAAUAGUUUCAUCUACUCUAGUUUUUUCAAAACUAAUUUAAAAGUCCAUGUAACAAAAAUUCUAUGAGGUACCUAAAAUGAUACAGAGAAAUAGGGUUGUGCAUUAAGUCACCUUCUGUUUCUGGUUUUAGCACCUUUCCCAGGGCUGCAAGAUAUGGUUCACCAUCCUCAUGAUAUAACAGCUGCACUUUCCUGCAGAUAAGUAUUUGCAUGCUGUAUUUGAAGAACAAAAAGAUCGUUCUGGCUUGUACAUCUGUGACGCGUUUACCCAGGAUGCAGGAAGACCAUUUUGUUUUCUGCUUGGCCUGAGCAGAACGUUCGACCUACUUUCCAUGGAAGUUUCCUAAUGAUGAACCUCAAGGAUACAUUGGACAGCAUUCCUUCUCCCUAUUUCCUGCAGAAAGGGUGAAGUAUAUAGGAAAAAAAAAAGUUUGAUUUGUGAAAAUGAGAAGAAAACUAGAAGGGGGUCAUAGGUUCGAGUCCAUGAGAAGUAAAUGCUUCCAUGCGUUCCAGGAACAUGUAAUAUACCAAAUCAGAAUCUCUGUAUUCAGGUGAAAGCUCUGAACACCAGACUUCCUAAUUCUAUUUGGUUUUCUGAAAUGGUAAAUCUUUGUGUAUGUGUGUUUAUUUUUUUUUCCUUAAAGACUAAGGAAGAGAAGCAUCUGGUCAUUUGAUCCUAGCUGAGGUAGGUUUGUAGACCAGCACGAAGCAGAUCAGUGAAAUUUAGGCUGAAUACAUAUGCACAGGGGGAGAGGCAGAACUUUGGGCAGCUGUGAUUGUGGAUUCACCCUUUGAAGCACGGCUAAGCAAACAGGAAGUUUAAAGUUUCCACCCAAGGUACUUUCAGAGCUGAAGUUCCUCCACAGUUAGCCAACAGCUGAGCAGUAACAAUCUGGAUUAUGACUUAGAAGACAAGAGGCUUUCUGUUACCAGUCAUCAUGAGUAAAGUGUCAUGAAAGAGCUGAGCGACUGUUACAGAUCCUGCCUGCAGCCCUUUCAGAUUUCAUGAUAAAUCCUCCCUCCCCUUCACUCCCAUAAAUACAUCUGCAAAUGACGUACCAGCGAUUGUGUGAGCAUUUCAAGCUUUUCCUUUUGUUUGGGAGCUGUUGUUGCUAUGCCACCACCACUCGUAUUGCAUUUUAUUUAGGUGGAUGUUAGGAGAUGAUUAGAUAGUUUAAUAGGCUCACCCCGUUAUGCACAAUGUUCUGGUGGUGCGUAGCCUCAUUUUGGUGACCUGGCAAUCGCUAUUCAAAAGAGAAACGUUGGCUUCCACUUGGAAGUUGGACAGGAACACUAUCCUUGAUGGAUUUGUGUACUUACGUAGUACAAAAGAUGAAGAUUACCUUUGAUUUAUUUUGUACUUGUGGGCAGAGAACAGUUUUGUUGGUGAUUAGUAUUUACAAUUUAUGUUUAUAUUUUACAUAAUAUGUGGCAUCUAGGUGCCCUCUGCCACGGUGUCCUAAAAGUCCCUAAUCUUGUAAAGAUUUAUGUGGGUGCUUAACAAAUGGUCCUGCCCUGUUUAAUGUCACUGCUCACAGUGGCUGUUAAGCUAGGAUGUAAGGUUUGCAUAUCGCUGGUGUGUCAAAAUAAAAAGCACAAGCACCAGAACUUUGGAAAGCAAUAGCAAGCAGGAAGUUUAUGAAAAUGUUGUAAACAAAUUAGUUACAGAUUUAAACAUACUUUAUGAAUAUAAGAAUAAUUGCUUAUCUAUUAAAUUUUUAUAGUGAAUUCCAGUUGUCCCUGGCUGGUUGGUUGUUAUACAGCAAAAGUCUCAAAUAAAUCCUUCU